AACGUAGGAGACAAACGUUAUCCGGAGUUACUGGGCGUAAAGGGCGUGCAGGUGGUCUGUUAAGUCUGGCGUGAAAGCUCUCGGCUAAACCGGGAGAGGUCGUUGGAUACUGGCGGACUAGAGGACGGUAGAGGCGUGUGGAAUUCCGGGUGUAGUGGUGAAAUGCGUAGAGAUCCGGAGGAACACCAGUGGCGAAGGCGACACGCUGGGCCGUGCCUGACACUAAAACGCGACAGCAUGGGGAGCGAACGGG
RNAcentral lists this ribosomal RNA (253 nucleotides) under uncultured bacterium. RNAcentral describes it as "partial 16S ribosomal RNA". It matches the Rfam family "Bacterial small subunit ribosomal RNA", at positions 524 to 776 of the family's 1533-position model. The record is from RNAcentral.